RNAcentral lists this transfer RNA (64 nucleotides) under Siphluriscus chinensis. Its description in RNAcentral is "tRNA-Glu". Lineage: Eukaryota; Metazoa; Arthropoda; Insecta; Ephemeroptera; Siphlonuridae. The record is from RNAcentral.
GCUCCUGUAGUUUAAAUAAAACUCCACGCUUUCACUGUGGGAAUGGGCUUAUGUCCCAUGAGUA